Long non-coding RNA from Oryzias melastigma (Indian medaka), 992 nucleotides. RefSeq lists it as uncharacterized. The record is from RefSeq and is a predicted model, not a curated record. Lineage: Eukaryota; Metazoa; Chordata; Actinopteri; Beloniformes; Adrianichthyidae. The transcript has 2 exons.
GGGUGUCAGGUGGUCUUGCCAAGCCCGUGCCACAGUUUGACUGGCUCCUGUGCCGGAUUGACCAUAUCCAUCCAAUGCUGCAGCUGAGGACCCCUGGCAUACAUAAAGGGGCCUAACACCAGCCCCCCCAGCUGUUAGGCUAGAGUGAAGUUUAGGACUCACAAUGUCCAAGAACCCUGAGACACCAGGACGACUGGAGCAGAGCCUGCUGGAACAGACGGCGCCGUGGAGAACAGCUCCUGGUACCGACUCUGCCUGUUCGUCCUCCUCCAAGAGCAGAACACGAGCAGACCCAGAAGCAGCAGCAGCACCAGACCCACAGACAGGCCGACAGCCAGCAGCAGCAUCUGGUCUGAACAACCACCCAGCUGAACCUCAUGGACCACAUCGACCAGAAAAUACUACAAACAGCUCGACUUACCAGCCAUCAGGGACAGAAUUAAAACUCCUUUUUUAUCAGAUAUUUGAGGCGAUCUAUAUAUAAAGGUAAAAUUUGCAGCUGGUUGUUACCUUUAACAAUUUUACUCCAGAGCACCGUGAGAGGAACGCAGCUGGUUUGUUCUCACCGUAAUCUGAGCAAAACUUCUCUGCAGAUAAAAAGCCAAAACACAAACUCUGAAUUCAAGAGAGAAAAAAAGGUUUUGUCGUCUUUUUGGGUGUAUAAUUUAUUUUCUGCAUCUAAAUUGCCUCAAUGACUCAGUUUUUAUAGUGAUCCCAAAUAAUAAAAAAAAACAUUUCUCUGCUGUUUAGAGUAUAUAAGCAACUGCUUACUUUAAUGCUUUUAUAAUUACGUACUUUUGAUGCUUCAAAUAAAGUCAAAGUCAUUGGAACAGCAAAAAAAAAAAAAAAAAAACUUAGAGCAGAACUGGACAGUUAUUUUAAUUUAAUUGCUCAUUCAUGAUGUCACUAACCCCAUGUACAAAUUGUUUAAAAUCUAUUGGGCCCCUAAAGAAACAUAAAAGAAAAAAAAUCUAAGUUAAAAAAAAAAAAAA